CCCUGGGGGCAGGUCAGCCAUCCUAGGGACCCACCUGGAGCUUAUGGUUAUACCCAUCACACCUUAAGCCCCUAUGGACACGCCAACUGCCAGAGAUCCAUCCUGGAAACACUGGCCAGUCGGAGAGACGCACCAGCCUUCUUGUGCCCCAAUCAACAGCAGCCACCGGCCUCUUCUCACCAUCUCUGUUUCCAGCCCAGGGCUCUCACCACUGCCUGGCCUGCCUCACAUCCCCCACUGCUGCUGCAGAGGCUGAGCUUUCUAGGGACUCGUGAGCCAGAUGUGCUUGUGUGAGGGAAGGACAGAGGAGGAGUCCCAGACACAGCAACUUCUGCAAAGCCCGUAGAGGAAAGAUGAAGUGAGAAAAGCCAAGGAGCCAGAUGUGACCAGCCAGGAUGCCAGAAGACCGAGGAUGAAGGCUCCUGAAGGAAAGGCGAUGGGCUCUGAUGCAGAACGAGACCUACUUUGUUUGAGCCUGGCCAUGGUGAGGAUCUAAGGACAGAUACCUAGAGAGGAGGAGGAAGUAGCCCAAGGCUGGUGGCAGAGCCUGGACUGGAGCCC
This is a non-coding RNA of Phascolarctos cinereus (koala), 561 nucleotides long. NCBI's taxonomy places the organism in Eukaryota, Metazoa, Chordata, Mammalia, Diprotodontia, Phascolarctidae. The record is from RefSeq and is a predicted model, not a curated record.